GUCUUUGCGCAGUGGCAAGAUCAUAGUCUAUGAGGUUUAACCGAGGUGCGAUUAUUGCUGGUUGAAAACUUCAUCCGAUACCCUCUAACUUCCAAUACAAUGCGGAGGGCUGCCAUCUGCAGAAAUUCUCAGAUGACUCAGCAAUAGU
This is a small nuclear RNA of Brienomyrus brachyistius, 148 nucleotides long. RefSeq annotates it as U4 spliceosomal RNA. The transcript has a single exon. Lineage: Eukaryota; Metazoa; Chordata; Actinopteri; Osteoglossiformes; Mormyridae. The record is from RefSeq and is a predicted model, not a curated record.